This 301-nucleotide ribosomal RNA is filed under the name uncultured bacterium. RNAcentral describes it as "partial 16S ribosomal RNA". It matches the Rfam family "Bacterial small subunit ribosomal RNA", at positions 509 to 810 of the family's 1533-position model. The record is from RNAcentral.
CAGCAGCCGCGGUAAUACGUAGGUGGCAAGCGUUGUCCGAAAUUAUUGGGCGUAAAGCGCGCGCAGGCGGAUCAGUCAGUCUGUCUUAAAAGUUCGGGGCUUAACCCCGUGAUGGGAUGGAAACUGCUGAUCUAGAGUAUCGGAGAGGAAAGUGGAAUUCCCAGUGUAGCGGUGAAAUGCGUAGAUAUUAGGAAGAACACCAGUGGCGAAGGCGACUUUCUGAACGAAAACCGACGCUGAGGCGCGAAAGCCAGGGGAGCGAACGGGAUUAGAUACCACCGUAGUCCUGUCUCUUAUACAC